This 2905-nucleotide ribosomal RNA is filed under the name Escherichia coli. Its description in RNAcentral is "23S ribosomal RNA". It matches the Rfam family "Bacterial large subunit ribosomal RNA". The record is from RNAcentral. Lineage: Bacteria; Pseudomonadati; Pseudomonadota; Gammaproteobacteria; Enterobacterales; Enterobacteriaceae.
GGUUAAGCGACUAAGCGUACACGGUGGAUGCCCUGGCAGUCAGAGGCGAUGAAGGACGUGCUAAUCUGCGAUAAGCGUCGGUGAGGUGAUAUGAACCGUUAUAACCGGCGAUUUCCGAAUGGGGAAACCCAGUGUGUUUCGACACACUAUCAUUAACUGAAUCCAUAGGUUAAUGAGGCGAACCGGGGGAACUGAAACAUCUAAGUACCCCGAGGAAAAGAAAUCAACCGAGAUUCCCCCAGUAGCGGCGAGCGAACGGGGAGGAGCCCAGAGCCUGAAUCAGUGUGUGUGUUAGUGGAAGCGUCUGGAAAGGCGUGCGAUACAGGGUGACAGCCCCGUACACAAAAAUGCACAUAUUGUGAGCUCGAUGAGUAGGGCGGGACACGUGGUAUCCUGUCUGAAUAUGGGGGGACCAUCCUCCAAGGCUAAAUACUCCUGACUGACCGAUAGUGAACCAGUACCGUGAGGGAAAGGCGAAAAGAACCCCGGCGAGGGGAGUGAAAAAGAACCUGAAACCGUGUACGUACAAGCAGUGGGAGCCUCUUAAUGGGGUGACUGCGUACCUUUUGUAUAAUGGGUCAGCGACUUAUAUUCUGUAGCAAGGUUAACCGAAUAGGGGAGCCGAAGGGAAACCGAGUCUUAACUGGGCGUUAAGUUGCAGGGUAUAGACCCGAAACCCGGUGAUCUAGCCAUGGGCAGGUUGAAGGUUGGGUAACACUAACUGGAGGACCGAACCGACUAAUGUUGAAAAAUUAGCGGAUGACUUGUGGCUGGGGGUGAAAGGCCAAUCAAACCGGGAGAUAGCUGGUUCUCCCCGAAAGCUAUUUAGGUAGCGCCUCGUGAAUUCAUCUCCGGGGGUAGAGCACUGUUUCGGCAAGGGGGUCAUCCCGACUUACCAACCCGAUGCAAACUGCGAAUACCGGAGAAUGUUAUCACGGGAGACACACGGCGGGUGCUAACGUCCGUCGUGAAGAGGGAAACAACCCAGACCGCCAGCUAAGGUCCCAAAGUCAUGGUUAAGUGGGAAACGAUGUGGGAAGGCCCAGACAGCCAGGAUGUUGGCUUAGAAGCAGCCAUCAUUUAAAGAAAGCGUAAUAGCUCACUGGUCGAGUCGGCCUGCGCGGAAGAUGUAACGGGGCUAAACCAUGCACCGAAGCUGCGGCAGCGACGCUUAUGCGUUGUUGGGUAGGGGAGCGUUCUGUAAGCCUGUGAAGGUGUGCUGUGAGGCAUGCUGGAGGUAUCAGAAGUGCGAAUGCUGACAUAAGUAACGAUAAAGCGGGUGAAAAGCCCGCUCGCCGGAAGACCAAGGGUUCCUGUCCAACGUUAAUCGGGGCAGGGUGAGUCGACCCCUAAGGCGAGGCCGAAAGGCGUAGUCGAUGGGAAACAGGUUAAUAUUCCUGUACUUGGUGUUACUGCGAAGGGGGGACGGAGAAGGCUAUGUUGGCCGGGCGACGGUUGUCCCGGUUUAAGCGUGUAGGCUGAUUUUCCAGGCAAAUCCGGAAAAUCAAGGCUGAGGCGUGAUGACGAGGCACUACGGUGCUGAAGCAACAAAUGCCCUGCUUCCAGGAAAAGCCUCUAAGCAUCAGGUAACAUCAAAUCGUACCCCAAACCGACACAGGUGGUCAGGUAGAGAAUACCAAGGCGCUUGAGAGAACUCGGGUGAAGGAACUAGGCAAAAUGGUGCCGUAACUUCGGGAGAAGGCACGCUGAUAUGUAGGUGAAGCGACUUGCUCGUGGAGCUGAAAUCAGUCGAAGAUACCAGCUGGCUGCAACUGUUUAUUAAAAACACAGCACUGUGCAAACACGAAAGUGGACGUAUACGGUGUGACGCCUGCCCGGUGCCGGAAGGUUAAUUGAUGGGGUUAGCGGCAACGCGAAGCUCUUGAUCGAAGCCCCGGUAAACGGCGGCCGUAACUAUAACGGUCCUAAGGUAGCGAAAUUCCUUGUCGGGUAAGUUCCGACCUGCACGAAUGGCGUAAUGAUGGCUAGGCUGUCUCCACCCGAGACUCAGUGAAAUUGAACUCGCUGUGAAGAUGCAGUGUACCCGCGGCAAGACGGAAAGACCCCGUGAACCUUUACUAUAGCUUGACACUGAACAUUGAGCCUUGAUGUGUAGGAUAGGUGGGAGGCUUUGAAGUGUGGACGCCAGUCUGCAUGGAGCCGACCUUGAAAUACCACCCUUUAAUGUUUGAUGUUCUAACGUUGGCCCGUAAUCCGGGUUGCGGACAGUGUCUGGUGGGUAGUUUGACUGGGGCGGUCUCCUCCUAAAGAGUAACGGAGGAGCACGAAGGUUGGCUAAUCCUGGUCGGACAUCAGGAGGUUAGUGCAAUGGCAUAAGCCAGCUUGACUGCGAGCGUGACGGCGCGAGCAGGUGCGAAAGCAGGUCAUAGUGAUCCGGUGGUUCUGAAUGGAAGGGCCAUCGCUCAACGGAUAAAAGGUACUCCGGGGAUAACAGGCUGAUACCGCCCAAGAGUUCAUAUCGACGGCGGUGUUUGGCACCUCGAUGUCGGCUCAUCACAUCCUGGGGCUGAAGUAGGUCCCAAGGGUAUGGCUGUUCGCCAUUUAAAGUGGUACGCGAGCUGGGUUUAGAACGUCGUGAGACAGUUCGGUCCCUAUCUGCCGUGGGCGCUGGAGAACUGAGGGGGGCUGCUCCUAGUACGAGAGGACCGGAGUGGACGCAUCACUGGUGUUCGGGUUGUCAUGCCAAUGGCACUGCCCGGUAGCUAAAUGCGGAAGAGAUAAGUGCUGAAAGCAUCUAAGCACGAAACUUGCCCCGAGAUGAGUUCUCCCUGACUCCUUGAGAGUCCUGAAGGAACGUUGAAGACGACGACGUUGAUAGGCCGGGUGUGUAAGCGCAGCGAUGCGUUGAGCUAACCGGUACUAAUGAACCGUGAGGCUUAACCUU